GACGAACGCUGGCGGCGUGCUUAACACAUGCAAGUCGAACGGAAAGGCCCUGCUUUUGUGGGGUGCUCGAGUGGCGAACGGGUGAGUAACACGUGAGUAACCUGCCCUUGACUUUGGGAUAACUUCAGGAAACUGGGGCUAAUACCGGAUAGGAGCUCCUGCUGCAUGGUGGGGGUUGGAAAGUUUCGGCGGUUGGGGAUGGACUCGCGGCUUAUCAGCUUGUUGGUGGGGUAGUGGCUUACCAAGGCUUUGACGGGUAGCCGGCCUGAGAGGGUGACCGGCCACAUUGGGACUGAGAUACGGCCAAGACUCCUACGGGAGGCAGCAGUGGGGAAUAUUGCACAAUGGGCGGAAGCCUGAUGCAGCAACGCCGCGUGCGGGAUGACGGCCUUCGGGUUGUAAACCGCUUUCGCCUGUGACGAAGCGUGAGUGACGGUAAUGGGUAAAGGAGCACCGGCUAACUACGUG
Molecule: ribosomal RNA, 468 nt
Filed under: uncultured bacterium
Lineage: Bacteria
Description: partial 16S ribosomal RNA
Rfam family: Bacterial small subunit ribosomal RNA
Source: RNAcentral